UACGGAGGAUGCGAGCGUUAUCCGGAUUUAUUGGGUUUAAAGGGUGCGUAGGCGGCCUUGUAAGUCAGCGGUGAAAUUUUGCAGCUUAACUGUAAAAGUGCCGUUGAUACUGUGAGGCUAGGAUUUGGUUGCUGUGGGUGGAAUGUGUGGUGUAGCGGUGAAAUGCUUAGAGAUCACACAGAAUAUCGAUUGCGAAGGCAGCUCACAAAGCCAAGAUUGACGCUGAGGCACGAAAGUGUGGGGAUCAAACAGGA
RNAcentral lists this ribosomal RNA (254 nucleotides) under uncultured prokaryote. RNAcentral's name for it is "partial 16S ribosomal RNA". It matches the Rfam family "Bacterial small subunit ribosomal RNA", at positions 524 to 777 of the family's 1533-position model. The record is from RNAcentral.